CUCAGGAUGAACGCUAGCGGCAGGCUUAACACAUGCAAGUCGAGGGGUAACAGGAUUUAGUUUACUAGAUUGCUGACGACCGGCGCACGGGUGAGUAACGCGUAUACAAUUUGCCUUUUACUGAAGAAUAGCCCAGAGAAAUUUGGAUUAAUGCUUCAUAGUAUUAUUUGGUCACCUGGCCGAGUAAUUAAAGCUCCGGCGGUAAAAGAUGAGUAUGCGUCCUAUUAGCUAGAUGGUAAGGUAACGGCUUACCAUGGCGACGAUAGGUAGGGGUCCUGAGAGGGAGAUCCCCCACACUGGUACUGAGACACGGACCAGACUCCUACGGGAGGCAGCAGUGAGGAAUAUUGGGCAAUGGAGGCAACUCUGACCCAGCCAUGCCGCGUGCAGGAAGACUGCCCUAUGGGUUGUAAACUGCUUUUAUACAGGAAGAAACUUAUCCACGUGUGGAUAACUGACGGUACUGUAAGAAUAAGGACCGGCUAACUCCGUGCCAGCAGCCGCGGUAAUACGGAGGGUCCAAGCGUUAUCCGGAAUCAUUGGGUUUAAAGGGUCCGUAGGCGGGCAAUUAAGUCAGAGGUGAAAUCCCACAGCUCAACUGUGGAACUGCCUUUGAUACUGGUUGUCUUGAGUUACAGUGAAGUAGAUAGAAUAUGUAGUGUAGCGGUGAAAUGCAUAGAUAUUACAUAGAAUACCGAUUGCGAAGGCAGUCUACUAACUGUAUACUGACGCUAAUGGACGAAAGCGUGGGGAGCGAACAGGAUUAGAUACCCUGGUAGUCCACGCCGUAAACGAUGGUCACUAGUUGUUGGGGUCUUGUACCUCAGUGAUUAAGAGAAAUUGAUAAGU
This 849-nucleotide ribosomal RNA is filed under the name Lutimonas sp. RNAcentral's name for it is "bacterial SSU rRNA". It matches the Rfam family "Bacterial small subunit ribosomal RNA", at positions 23 to 865 of the family's 1533-position model. The record is from RNAcentral. Lineage: Bacteria; Pseudomonadati; Bacteroidota; Flavobacteriia; Flavobacteriales; Flavobacteriaceae.